Molecule: unclassified non-coding RNA, 216 nt
Filed under: soil metagenome
Description: partial contains small subunit ribosomal RNA, internal transcribed spacer 1, and 5.8S ribosomal RNA
Source: RNAcentral
UUUCCGUAGGUGAACCUGCGGAAGGAUCAUUUCCACACCAAAAAACAACUUUCCACGAGAACACGUACUUGACCUUAGAAGUUUGGCUCCCGUAACACGGAGCUAAACGAUGUGUAUACCCCCUUUUACUUAAUUUACUGAUGAAAUAACCCGGUAGAGUGAAAACUUUGCUGUAUAAUUUCUAUACAACUUUCAACAGUGGAUGUCUAGGCUCGC